GUCGGAAUUGCUAGUAAUGGCAGGUCAGCAUACUGCCGUGAAUACGUUCCCGGGCCUUGUACACACCGCCCGUCACACCAUGAGAGUUGGGAAUACCCGAAGCCUGUGAGCCAACAAACGAGGCAGCAGUCGAAGGUAGAAUCAAUGAUUGGGGUGAAGUCGUAACAAGGUACC
Molecule: ribosomal RNA, 174 nt
Filed under: uncultured bacterium
Lineage: Bacteria
Description: partial 16S ribosomal RNA
Rfam family: Bacterial small subunit ribosomal RNA
Source: RNAcentral